Xenia sp. Carnegie-2017 is the source of this 444-nucleotide long non-coding RNA. RefSeq lists it as uncharacterized. The record is from RefSeq and is a predicted model, not a curated record. The transcript is spliced from 3 exons. Lineage: Eukaryota; Metazoa; Cnidaria; Anthozoa; Malacalcyonacea; Xeniidae.
UUAAAGCUGUCUUAUACAUCUAUCAGCGAAAACAACAAUUCAAGGAUUUUCCACGCUUUCGUGCUUCGAGAAGAGCACUAAUAAAAAAUUGUAAACCAAUUAGGAAAUCGAAUUUUCAAUUCCGUGUUUAUCAAAGCAUUGAUCUGCUUCGUCGAUGAAAUGGAAGAUUCCAGCUAGUGUUGCGACUGUUGAAACGUGCUGUAUUGAACACUCAACACUGGCAAUGUGAUUUGUCAUCGAUAAAGGAUAAUUGCUGAGUAAAAUGAGCAAAAGCCAAAAUUGUCAAAUAUUUUUAUUUUCUUAACGCUGGACAGACUCUAAUGUGGACACGUUGAUGAAAGAUUUUUUGUCGGGAAAUGGAAAUUUUUAUUCUUCUGUAAUUAUUACAGAUAUGAAUCUAAUAGAACUAAAGAUUCCAAUAAUUAGAUUUUUAAUCUACAUGGA